This 295-nucleotide unclassified non-coding RNA is filed under the name Basidiomycota sp. RNAcentral describes it as "partial contains small subunit ribosomal RNA, internal transcribed spacer 1, and 5.8S ribosomal RNA". The stretch from base 1 to 47 matches the Rfam family "Eukaryotic small subunit ribosomal RNA", at positions 1785 to 1831 of the family's 1831-position model. Lineage: Eukaryota; Fungi; Basidiomycota. The record is from RNAcentral.
AAAGUCGUAACAAGGUUUCCGUAGGUGAACCUGCGGAAGGAUCAUUAACGAAAUUAUGACUGGGGUUGUAGCUGGCCUAUAAAACGGCACGUGCACGCUCCUUUCACAAUCCACACACACCUGUGCACCUUCGCGGGGGUCUUCUUUUUCCUUGGGAAGUCGAUGCAAGUCGAUUGUACCUCGGGGGGAGGGCUCGCGUCCCUUUACACACACCCUUUUGUAUGUCUUAAGAAUGUCUACUCGAUGUAAUAAAACGCAUCUAAUACAACUUUCAACAACGGAUCUCUUGGCUCUC